GAUGAAGAACGCAGCGAAAUGCGAUAAGUAAUGUGAAUUGCAGAAUUCAGUGAAUCAUCGAAUCUUUGAACGCACAUUGCGCCCCCUGGUAUUCCGGGGGGCAUGCCUGUUCGAGCGUCAUUUCACCACUCAAGCCUCGCUUGGUAUUGGGCAACGCGGUCCGCCGCGUGCCUCAAAUCGACCGGCUGGGUCUUCUGUCCCCUAAGCGUUGUGGAAACUAUUCGCUAAAGGGUGUUCGGGAGGCGACGCCGUAAAACAACCCCAUUUCUAAGGUUGACCUCGGAUCAGGUAGGGAUACCCGCUGAACUUAAGCAUAUCAAUAAGCGGAGGA
RNAcentral lists this unclassified non-coding RNA (331 nucleotides) under soil metagenome. RNAcentral's name for it is "partial contains 5.8S ribosomal RNA, internal transcribed spacer 2, and large subunit ribosomal RNA". The stretch from base 1 to 120 matches the Rfam family "5.8S ribosomal RNA", at positions 35 to 154 of the family's 154-position model. The record is from RNAcentral.